UACCGAGGGUGCGAGCGUUGUCCGGAAUCACUGGGCGUAAAGGGCGCGUAGGUGGCCUGGUAAGUUGGGGGUGAAAUCUCGCGGCUCAACUGCGAGGCUGCCUCCUAAACUGUCAGGCUCGAGCAGAGUAGAGGCAGGUGGAAUUCCCGGUGUAGCGGUGAAAUGCGUAGAUAUCUGGAGGAACACCGGUGGCGAAGGCGGCGUUCUGGAAUGCAACUGACACUGAGGAACGAAAGCCAGGGGAGCAAACGGG
RNAcentral lists this ribosomal RNA (253 nucleotides) under uncultured bacterium. RNAcentral's name for it is "partial 16S ribosomal RNA". It matches the Rfam family "Bacterial small subunit ribosomal RNA", at positions 524 to 776 of the family's 1533-position model. The record is from RNAcentral.